This 3153-nucleotide long non-coding RNA is filed under the name Homo sapiens (human). Its description in RNAcentral is "HSALNT0144268". The record is from RNAcentral. Lineage: Eukaryota; Metazoa; Chordata; Mammalia; Primates; Hominidae.
CAAGAGGAGGAGCCAAGAUUCAGAGGGAUGACACGGCUUUCCCAAAGUCUUGUCACCAAGAAGCACAGCCAGUAUUGAAAUCCAGGGAAACAGAAAAGAAGGCACAGGUGCUGGCAUCAGGACUUCCUCAAACUCCCUCAAAGUCUGCAAGCCAACCAAGUACAUCGGUUUCCCCUUUGAGACAUCUUGGCACCCAGCCUUUCUCUGCUUCUGGUCCUCACAAAUCUGAAUGUGUGGAAUCACAUGAAAUUCUCCAGCUUCCUGAUUUCCUCUGGUCAUUAUCCAGGCUACAUGACUUCCCAGCUCUACCUCCAUCCCAUCUGGACUCCAGUGUGGGACCUUGACAAGAAAGAGCCAACCACCAUGCCAGCUCUAGUUCCUAGCAGUGAGAUGCCCUUGGGCAAGUUACCUAAUUUCCUUGCAUUUUAGGGCCCCACCUGUAAAAUGGGAAUAACAGCAGCAUCUCCCUGAGAUGUUCUUUCAAAGAUGAGAAAACAUGAACAACUGGACUCUCUUGCCCAAGCCAUGGUCUCAGUGUUUCCUAAGAUUUAAAACAUUUCAUCCUGAAGACAGACUCUGAGAUGCUCUCUGCACUUGGCUGGAGGAGAGAUGAGCAAUGCUCUGGAAGUGCUGAAGCCCUGGGCUCUUGGAGCUGCCUGCCUGAGGCUGAGCUGUGUGGGAGGAGAAGAAGAACAGCAACAGCCUGGGGAGACAAACACACAAACAAACCUACAAACAAGGGAUGUGUUUGUUACUGAAAGAGAAAGGGCCCAUUCAGCUCUAGGCCCUAGAUGCUCAAUGCUUCCUCCAGGCCUGGAGCCCAGGCAGCUGUCACAUUUAUCUAUCCCCAAAGCCACCUGUGACCCCUGGCUGCUGCACGGGAGGUCCCUGGGCCUGCAAGGGUGGGGGUGGUGACCCUUUCCCUCAUGGCUCAUGGGUUGGCUCCUCAGGCCCUGUCCCAUGGCCUGGGUGGGGUCUCCUUCUCCUUCCUCUUCCUCCACUCGGUGGCUCUAUUCUUAUCCUUCACCUCUGAAGUCCCAGGGACAAACAGUGGGGCCCUCUGGAUGAAGAGAGGGCUUGAAAUGCUGAUGGCUGGAAUGGAGAGAAUUAUUCAAACCAUCCUGGGGUGAGAAAGAGGAGAAGGCAAAGUAACAUUUUUUGAGCACCUACUAUGUGCUUGACACACUGCUGAGCCAUUUCAUCUAAUACUUCCAGCCAAAAGGAGUGGCGGCUCAGAGCUCGAGCAGCUGGCUCUGACUGACAGUGCAUUCCCUUUCCAGGAAAAGAUCCACCCCAUGGGGCUGUGAUGUUAAGAAACAGGACAGGGAAGCAUAAAGGCUACAGUGAGUGAGGGAGUAGCUGACACACAGUAGUGUUCAAUAGAUACUGUGCCCCCAUCCUGAGUCCCUAUGCAUUUUGUAGAAGACUUGUUUAAUGGAAAGGAAAAAACCAUGCUAUAACUGAUCCAUUUAUUUUAUUCAAUAAAUAUUUACUGAGCACCUACUGUGUGCCAGAAACUGUGUAGGGGCUGAAACACAUCAAUGGCCAAGAUGGAAACUGGGAAAGUGCCCCUGCCCUUGCGCAGUUUACAUUCUAGUGGAAUGGCCAGGAGAGGGACCCUUCACGUGCACUUGUCCAGCACAGCUGUGUUGAGUGCUGACUAUGUGUCGGGCUCUGGUCUCUGCAUGGUGUUCUUCAACCUGAGUGUCAGGCUAGGAAGCAGCACUGACUGCCCUGGGCUGUACUGAGCCUCCAUGGGGAUUUCAGAAAAGGUGCUCUUUCUUCUGACAUCUGCCAGAAAAAUGUCUCUAAUCAGUAUGCAAAUUGAUAAUGAUAAUAACAUAUAAACACCAACCUCUGGGGUUGUGCAGUGAACAAACUACCCAACUGUCCCCAACAGGGCUGCUCAGAACCACCCAGGAGCCCCUCCAACCCUGCGUGUAUGUCCCUCCAGUGUUCUUCCACACACUGCAAUAGCUCCAUCAUGAUGCGUACGAAUUGUGAUGAAUGAAAAUAAGAGCUUCCAUUGGCUGAAGACUCACUAAGUUUCCAUAAACCACUAAUAUUCCAAAUUCCCAAUUCCAUUCAGUCCCCGCAUUCCCCUAUGAGGUAGCAUUUAUGGGUUCAGUCACGUGCCCCCAAUAUUCAUAUGUUGAAGUCCUAAGCCCUGACCUCGGGAUGUGACUGCAUUUGGAGAUGGGGUCUUUGAAGCUAUAAUUAAGGUAAAAUGAGUUCAUUAGGGUGGACCCUUAUCCAACGUGGCUGAUUUCUCAAAAGAAGAGAUUUGAACACAAAAGCGUGCAGAGGGAAGACCAAGUGAGGACACAGGCCAGCUACAAGCUAAGGAAAGUGGCCUCAGAAGAAACCAGCUAUGUAGGGACCAUCCCUUGAUCUUGAACUUCUAGCCUAUAGAACUGUGAGAGAAUGAAUUUCUGUUGUUUAAGCCACCCUGUCUCUGGUACUUUAUUGUGGCAGCCCUUGCAAACUAAUACAGAUAGAUUCUAUUAUUUCCCCCGUUUUUACCAAUAAACACACUGAGUCAGUGAGAGGUUAUGUACCAUGUCCAAGGUCACGAGCUAAGAGGUAGGGACGUGGGGUUGGAACUCAGCUCUGAUUCCACACCCAUGCACUUAGCCCCACUGCACUGCACAGAUUUUUCCUUUUUAAUCCCUUUUUGGCCCCUUCAGAGGGGCAUGUCUUAACUGGAUCUCUGCAGGGUGAGCAUGUCAAAAGAGAGGUUGGCACUGAGACUCCACACAUCCACAAACCCUUACCCUGGGCCAGCCCUGCAGAGCCCUGGGCCAUGGGCUGUCUGCCCAGGCAUCUGGGACAAGCUAAAGAAGUUCUCUACUCAUUCUGUUUUAUUUUCUAAACAUUAUUGGUCUUUGGAAGUAGUGACCUUUGAAGAAAGAAAGAAAAAUUCCAGAUAUUCCAAAGAUAGUGAGUAAUCUCUGCAGUCAACCCUAGACCAGGGAAGAGCAAGGAUUCUCUGUGAAGAGCCAGACAGCAAACCUCCCAGGCUCUGCUGGCCAGAAGCGUGUGGCAGCCACUCCACUCCACCACCUCAGCUCAAGACCGCCAUAGGCAGUGUGCAAAUGAAUGAACACAGCUGGCUUCCAUUAUAGCUUUAUUUAUAGACACUAAUAUCUGGAU